GACGAACGCUGGCGGCGUGCUUAACACAUGCAAGUCGAACGGAAAGGCCCUGCUUUUGUGGGGUGCUCGAGUGGCGAACGGGUGAGUAACACGUGAGUAACCUGCCCUUGACUUUGGGAUAACUUCAGGAAACUGGGGCUAAUACCGGAUAGGAGCUCCUGCUGCAUGGUGGGGGUUGGAAAGUUUCGGCGGUUGGGGAUGGACUCGCGGCUUAUCAGCUUGUUGGUGGGGUAGUGGCUUACCAAGGCUUUGACGGGUAGCCGGCCUGAGAGGGUGACCGGCCACAUUGGGACUGAGAUACGGCCCAGACUCCUACGGGAGGCAGCAGUGGGGAAUAUUGCACAAUGGGCGGAAGCCUGAUGCAGCAACGCCGCGUGCGGGAUGACGGCCUUCGGGUUGUAAACCGCUUUCGCCUGUGACGAAGCGUGAGUGACGGUAAUGGGUAAAGAAGCACCGGCUAACUACGUGCCAGCAGCCGCGGUGAUACGUAGGGUGCGAGCGUUGUCCGGAUUUAUUGGGCGUAAAGGGCUCGUAGGUGGUUGAUCGCGUCGGAAGUGUAAUCUUGGGGCUUAACCCUGAGCGUGCUUUCGAUACGGGUUGACUUGAGGAAGGUAGGGGAGAAUGGAAUUCCUGGUGGAGCGGUGGAAUGCGCAGAUAUCAGGAGGAACACCAGUGGCGAAGGCGGUUCUCUGGGCCUUUCCUGACGCUGAGGAGCGAAAGCGUGGGGAGCGAACAGGCUUAGAUACCCUGGUAGUCCACGCUGUAAACGGUGGGUACUAGGUGUGGGGUCCAUUCCACGGGUUCCGUGCCGUAGCUAACGCUUUAAGUACCCCGCCUGGGGAGUACGGCCGCAGGGCUAAAACUCAAAGGAAUUGACGGGGCCCCGCACAAGCGGCGGAGCAUGCGGAUUAAUUCGAUGCAACGCGUAGAACCUUACCUGGGUUUGACAUGGAUCGGGAGUGCUCAGAGAUGGGUGUGCCUCUUUUGGGGUCGGUUCACAGGUGGUGCAUGGCUGUCGUCAGCUCGUGUCGUGAGAUGUUGGGUUAAGUCCCGCAACGAGCGCAACCCUUGUUCACUGUUGCCAGCACGUUAUGGUGGGGACUCAGUGGAGACCGCCGGGGUCAACUCGGAGGGAGGUGGGGAUGACGUCAAGUCAUCAUGCCCCUUAUGUCCAGGGCUUCACGCAUGCUACAAUGGCUGGUACAGAGAGUGGCGAGCCUGUGAGGGUGAGCGAAUCUCGGAAAGCCGGUCUCAGUUCGGAUUGGGGUCUGCAACUCGACCUCAUGAAGUCGGAGUCGCUAGUAAUCGCAGAUCAGCAACGCUGCGGUGAAUACGUUCCCGGGGCU
RNAcentral lists this ribosomal RNA (1346 nucleotides) under uncultured bacterium. RNAcentral describes it as "partial 16S ribosomal RNA". It matches the Rfam family "Bacterial small subunit ribosomal RNA", at positions 28 to 1381 of the family's 1533-position model. The record is from RNAcentral.